AAACCAAUCAGCAUGAAAUGUCUGUGAAGUCCAAUGAACAAAGCAACAAAUAGUGAUCAUCUAUUGAACACAGAUGAAAGAUUCAUCUCAAGGACAGUCUUCCUUAGAAUCUGAUUACAUGAAGAUUAUUGUAAAGUUUUUGAAGAUGUCAUCCUCCCAUCUGUUUUUGUUUUAAUGAUCUUAGAGACCAAAACACUGCCCACUACAAAAUCAC
This 214-nucleotide long non-coding RNA is filed under the name Chinchilla lanigera (long-tailed chinchilla). RNAcentral's name for it is "lncRNA (ENSCLAG00000027540.1)". The record is from RNAcentral. Lineage: Eukaryota; Metazoa; Chordata; Mammalia; Rodentia; Chinchillidae.